RNAcentral lists this small nuclear RNA (148 nucleotides) under Nannospalax galili (Upper Galilee mountains blind mole rat). RNAcentral describes it as "U1 spliceosomal RNA (ENSNGAG00000003915.1)". It matches the Rfam family "U1 spliceosomal RNA". Rfam says of the family: U1 is a small nuclear RNA (snRNA) component of the spliceosome (involved in pre-mRNA splicing). Its 5' end forms complementary base pairs with the 5' splice junction, thus defining the 5' donor site of an intron. Lineage: Eukaryota; Metazoa; Chordata; Mammalia; Rodentia; Spalacidae. The record is from RNAcentral.
AUACUUACUUGGCAGAGAAGAUACCGAGAUGGUUUUUCCACGGUGAGGUCAUCCAUUGCACUCUGGAUGUGCUAAGCCCUCUCCAAAUGUGGAACCUCAACUGCAAAGUUUGUGGUACUGGGGGACUACUUUCUCAUUUCGUCUCUUA